Molecule: ribosomal RNA, 257 nt
Filed under: uncultured Thiobacillus sp.
Lineage: Bacteria; Pseudomonadati; Pseudomonadota; Betaproteobacteria; Nitrosomonadales; Thiobacillaceae
Description: partial 16S ribosomal RNA
Rfam family: Bacterial small subunit ribosomal RNA
Source: RNAcentral
ACGCAAGGGCACUCUAAUGAGACUGCCGGUGACAACCGGAGAAGGUGGGGAUGACGUCAAGUCCUCAUGGCCCUUAUGGGUAGGGCUUCACACGUCAUACAAUGGUCGGUACAGAGGGUUGCCAAGCCGCGAGGCGGAGCCAAUCCCACAAAGCCGAUCGUAGUCCGGAUUGUUCUCUGCAACUCCGAGAGCAUGAAGUCGGAAUCGCUAGUAAUCGCAGGUCAGCAUACUGCGGUGAAUACCGGUUCCCGGGUCUU